Molecule: non-coding RNA, 940 nt
Organism: Pelodiscus sinensis (Chinese soft-shelled turtle)
Lineage: Eukaryota; Metazoa; Chordata; Testudines; Trionychidae
Source: RefSeq, a predicted model, not a curated record
UAUUUCAGGAUACUGUCUGUAUCCCGAAAUAGUGCUACAGUCUAGACUCACCCUUAUUGACACAGAACAUACACCACUUCACACUGAGGUUGGUCCCAUGUGUUUCAAACUUUGUUCUAAAUUUAUAUGGCUUCUAGGCCAGGAGAAAAUAGUAUUUUUCAAACAUGAUCUUAAAAAAUUCCCUGUUUCAUUCCAUUACCUUUCAGGUUACUGACGUCAUAAUGCUUUACUGCUGGCACCAUGCCGCAAAGUUCCACAACGAGGCGGAGUUGGGAAGAUGACAGGAUGACAGCAGCUGGAGAGGACAGAGCGGGAGACAGCUUUGGGCGUUCCAAGCAUUUUCUCAAAGCCUAUGGCAAGUCAUAACUCGGUGCAUGGAUGAAAAGCUUCAAUGAAGUGUGAAUCCACCAUGAAGCCGGGCUCAGGUAAUGCACUCCUUUAGUCUGAUGACUCAUAAAGCAGACCUCUAGCUGAAAUAGGAUUACAGUGCAGUGGACUAGUACAGUAGCUGUGCUCUCAGAACAAACAUACACUUAUCUCCCAUAACGUCCAACUUGCAAUGACUGUUAAUCGAUCAAUGAUCAUGAAGCUACAGAAAAUAAUUGCAAAGCCUGCCCAUCGCACUUCUCCUUUCUUUUCUUUUGUAAUCCCCAGCCACAGCUUCUGGAAGAGGAAAGCCCAAGGGAUGCAACUGUGUUCAUGACAGAGAGGUGUGGCAUUGGUGGAGUCCAUCUAAGUGCCAUAUGAGGGAGUCUUUUUUCGCUCAUCUGAAGGACAUGCCCCAGCCAUCUCCAGCGUCUCUGCUUGAUCUCGUCCACAACAUUGUUGAUGCCAAUGCGUUGGCUUAUCUCCUUGUUGGUAACAUGCUGUUUCCUGCUCAUUCAGAAAUAUAAUUUAUGCUAUCAUGUGCCAAAAGUCUCCGUCUGCUAUGUACAUUGGA